UGUUAAUUAUUGUAUGUAAAGAUAAUGUAUAUUUACCUUUCCUCCUAAUGUUUGUUUCUCGUAUUUUUAAACUGAGUGCAUUUCUUAAAUUAGUUUUUCCCCCCUCCCUCAACAGUUAACCAUGUGACCGAGUGCCUUGUGGAAUCGUGUGGGAUGCUACCUGAUAAACCAGGCUUCUUUAACCAUGCAGAGCAGACAGGCUGUUUCUUUGACACAAAUAUCACAGGCUUCAGGGUUAAGAUUGCUGUUUUUCUGUCCUUGCUUUGGCACAACACACUGAGGGUUUUUUUUAUCGCGGGUUUGCCUACAGGUAGAUUAGAUUAAUUAUUACUAUGUAAUGCAAGUACAGUUGGGGGAAAGCUUAGGUAGAUAUAUUUUUUUUAAAAGGUGCUGCCUUUUUGGAUUUAUAAGAAAAUGGCUGUCAGUCGUGAUAGAACAGAGUUUUCCUCAUAUGAGUAAGAGGAAGGGACUUUCACUUUCAAGUGGAACGGCCAUCACUAUCAAGAUCAGCUCAUGGAAGGAGUAAAGAAAAUAUCUCAAAAUGAGACAAACUGAAGUUUUGUUUUUUUUUUAAUGACUUAAGUUUUUGUGCUCUUGCAAGACUAUACAAAACUAUUUUAAGAAAGCAGUGAUAUCACUUGAACUUCAGUGCCCUCACUGUAGAAUUUAAAAGCCUUACUGUUGAUUGCCCAUGGUGGACUUGAUGGAGAAAUUAAAUAUCUUUCAUUAUGCUUUACAAAAUACUGUAUAUGUUUCAGCAAGUUUGGGGAAUGGGAGAGGACGAAAAAAAGUUACAUUUAAUCUAUGCAUUUUUGCCAAGCCAUAUUGAGUUAUUUUACUACUAGAGACAUUAGGAAACUAACUGUACAAAAGAACCAAGUUUAAAAGCAUUUUGUGGGGUACAUCAUUUCUAUAAUUGUAUAAUGUAUUUCUUUGUGGUUUUAAAUGAUAAAGACAUUAAGUUAACAAACAUAUAAGAAAUGUAUGCACUGUUUGAAAUGUAAAUUAUUCUUAGAACACUUUCAAUGGGGGUUGCAUUGUCCUUUUAGUGCCUUAAUUUGAGAUAAUUAUUUUACUGCCAUGAGUAAGUAUAGAAAUUUCAAAAAAUGUAUUUUCAAAAAAUUAUGUGUGUCCGUGAGUUUUUCAUUGAUAAUUGGUUUAAUUUAAAAUAUUUAGAGGUUUGUUGGACUUUCAUAAAUUGAGUACAAUCUUUGCAUCAAACUACCUGCUACAAUAAUGACUUUAUAAAACUGCAAAAAAUGUAGAAGGUUGCACCAAUAUAAAAAGGAAAUAUGGCAAUACAUCCAUGAUGUUUUCCAGUUAACAUAGGAAUUACCAGAUAAAUACUGUUAAACUCUUGUCCGGUAACAAGAGUUGAUUCAUAUGGACAGUAUGAUUUAUUGUUUCUUUUUUUAACCAAAUACCUCCUCAGUAAUUUAUAAUGGCUUUGCAGUAAUGUCUAUCAGAUAAGAAGCACUGGAAAACCGAUCGUCUCUAGGAUGAUAUGCAUGUUUCAAGUGGUAUUGAAAGCCGCA
This 1535-nucleotide long non-coding RNA is filed under the name Homo sapiens (human). Its description in RNAcentral is "non-protein coding lnc-USP14-2:5". The record is from RNAcentral. Lineage: Eukaryota; Metazoa; Chordata; Mammalia; Primates; Hominidae.